UUCUGUAUAGCUCAGUCAGUAAAGAAUCUGCCUGCAAUGCAGGAAACCUGGGUUCGAUUCCUGGGUCAGGAA
RNAcentral lists this transfer RNA (72 nucleotides) under Capra hircus (goat). It matches the Rfam family "tRNA". From Rfam's summary of the family: Transfer RNA (tRNA) molecules are approximately 80 nucleotides in length. Their secondary structure includes four short double-helical elements and three loops (D, anti-codon, and T loops). Further hydrogen bonds mediate the characteristic L-shaped molecular structure. tRNAs have two regions of fundamental functional importance: the anti-codon, which is responsible for specific mRNA codon recognition, and the 3' end, to which the tRNAs corresponding amino acid is attached (by aminoacyl-tRNA synthetases). tRNAs cope with the degeneracy of the genetic code in two manners: having more than one tRNA (with a specific anti-codon) for a particular amino acid; and 'wobble' base-pairing, i.e. permitting non-standard base-pairing at the 3rd anti-codon position. Lineage: Eukaryota; Metazoa; Chordata; Mammalia; Artiodactyla; Bovidae. RNAcentral also lists the same sequence under 1 other name. The record is from Rfam by way of RNAcentral.